Molecule: ribosomal RNA, 253 nt
Filed under: uncultured bacterium
Lineage: Bacteria
Description: partial 16S ribosomal RNA
Rfam family: Bacterial small subunit ribosomal RNA
Source: RNAcentral
UACGAAGGGGGCUAGCGUUGCUCGGAAUUACUGGGCGUAAAGCGCACGUAGGCGGCUUUCUAAGUCGGGGGUGAAAUCCUGGAGCUCAACUCCAGAACUGCCUUCGAUACUGGAAAGCUCGAGUCCGGGAGAGGUGAGUGGAACUGCGAGUGUAGAGGUGAAAUUCGUAGACAUUCGCAAGAACACCAGUGGCGAAGGCGGCUCACUGGCCCGGUACUGACGCUGAGGUGCGAAAGCAUGGGGAGCAAACAGG